Molecule: long non-coding RNA, 639 nt
Organism: Balaenoptera musculus (blue whale)
Lineage: Eukaryota; Metazoa; Chordata; Mammalia; Artiodactyla; Balaenopteridae
Exons: 4
Source: RefSeq, a predicted model, not a curated record
CCUCCGGGUCCGCCCGCGCCCGGGAGCCGGCGGCCAGGGGACCCGCUGCCAAGGAGGGGGCGGCGGCGGGGCCGGGAACGUGCGGCCAGGCCUAGCUGAGGAGCCAGCAGGCCCCCACAGGCCCUGGUACAGUGCCUCCAGGGACUUAAACCUGCCUCAGCUACGUGAUUACCCUGAUCUAUCUGCUGGGAGAUGAGCAAAGCUCGGAGAGGGACCAGAUCUCAGCAGAGACCAAACCAGCAGCAGUUCCUGAACACCCACCCCCCAGUGCUUCCAGAAGUGCAACAUGGACCAACCUGUGAGCAUUUGCUCCUCCUCAGAUGGGUAGCUUGAAGCCCAGAUUGAGACUCCUGUUUCUCCUCUCUGUUCACUCAUCCCUACUUCCUUUGGUAGUUUCCCUUCUCCAUAUAGCCAAAUUUUAAAGCCUAGAAGCCCUACUCCACUGAGCCAGCCUCUGACUUGCUCUUGAAUGAGGUUAUUGCUCUCCUACCCGGUGCCAGGUAUGCAAGAUCAAGGUGGGGAGGCUUAGUUUCUGCUCUUCCAUCUGGACCAUUCUAUUGACUCAAACGCAAGCAGAUAUAGAAAGAGAAUCAACUUGGGAAUUAGGCCUGCAAUAAAAUUUGGCUUCACCACUAAAGA